GCCGGCAUGGCGCAGUGGUAACGCGUCGCACUUGUACAUCAAGCAAAUGCGAAGAUCCCUAGUUCAAUUCUGGGUGUCGGCA
Molecule: transfer RNA, 82 nt
Filed under: Kalmusia sp. IMI 367209
Lineage: Eukaryota; Fungi; Ascomycota; Dothideomycetes; Pleosporales; Didymosphaeriaceae
Description: tRNA-Thr
Rfam family: tRNA
About the family: Transfer RNA (tRNA) molecules are approximately 80 nucleotides in length. Their secondary structure includes four short double-helical elements and three loops (D, anti-codon, and T loops). Further hydrogen bonds mediate the characteristic L-shaped molecular structure. tRNAs have two regions of fundamental functional importance: the anti-codon, which is responsible for specific mRNA codon recognition, and the 3' end, to which the tRNAs corresponding amino acid is attached (by aminoacyl-tRNA synthetases). tRNAs cope with the degeneracy of the genetic code in two manners: having more than one tRNA (with a specific anti-codon) for a particular amino acid; and 'wobble' base-pairing, i.e. permitting non-standard base-pairing at the 3rd anti-codon position.
Source: RNAcentral